This 492-nucleotide ribosomal RNA is filed under the name uncultured bacterium. RNAcentral's name for it is "partial 16S ribosomal RNA". It matches the Rfam family "Bacterial small subunit ribosomal RNA", at positions 29 to 507 of the family's 1533-position model. The record is from RNAcentral.
AGUGAACGCUGGCGGUAGGCCUAACACAUGCAAGUCGAACGGCAGCACAGUAAGAGCUUGCUCUUACGGGUGGCGAGUGGCGGACGGGUGAGGAAUACAUCGGAAUCUACUUUUUCGUGGGGGAUAACGUAGGGAAACUUACGCUAAUACCGCAUACGACCUACGGGUGAAAGCAGGGGAUCUUCGGACCUUGCGCGAUUGAAUUAGCCGAUGUCGGAUUAGCUAGUUGGCGGGGUAAAGGCCCACCAAGGCGACGAUCCGUAGCUGGUCUGAGAGGAUGAUCAGCCACACUGGAACUGAGACACGGUCCAGACUCCUACGGGAGGCAGCAGUGGGGAAUAUUGGACAAAGGGCGCAAGCCUGAUCCAGCCAUACCGCGUGGGUGAAGAAGGCCUUCGGGUUGUAAAGCCCUUUUGUUGUGAAAGAAAAGCAGCAGGUUAAUACCCCGCUGUUCUGACGGUACCCAAAGAAUAAGCACCGGCUAACUUCGUG